This is a non-coding RNA of Nelumbo nucifera (sacred lotus), 3265 nucleotides long. The record is from RefSeq and is a predicted model, not a curated record. NCBI's taxonomy places the organism in Eukaryota, Viridiplantae, Streptophyta, Magnoliopsida, Proteales, Nelumbonaceae.
AGUGAGAGAUGUUUCCUAGCACUGGUUUCCUUCAACUAUAUGCCUAUUCUUUAGAAAGUAGCUAUUGUACUUUACAUCCCAAUGCAGUAGGAUAAUGAGACACGUUAAAGUCUUUGAGCAAGAGAUGAUGUAUGGCAUACUCAGAAAUCAAUUUACUACAAUAAUUUUUUUAUCAGACACAUACAGGGACUUCAAUGUUUUAGAAGCUUGACCAAUCAGUGAACUGGACAAAGAUUGGUUCAAUCCAACUGAAUGAUCAACUCUUGAUACUACACCAAAACCAGUUAAUUGUCAUCUAAAAUAAAUUAAAUAAAUGAAAAGAAAAUUGCUCCAUGUCAAACUGCCAUCAGGUUCGAUAUUCAUGCAAAUUCGAGGGUCAGACUGAUGGUUCAUAGGUUCUUUUCAAUUUUCGUAAGGACUCAAUUCACUAGUCAAAUUGAACCAGUGGCAUUUCAGUGGCCCAAUUUUCGGGUCCAAUCCAGUUUGUUAAACAUUGAUAUGUGUAUGUGUGUUUUCAAAUUUAAGCAAGGAUAACCCUUAUCCUUAAUGAAUUCAGCACUAAAGGUCUAGGCUCCCAAGUUUGUAUUUGAUUUUUUGUUCUUGUUUGAACUACAUAUUUGAUUUUUUUUGUUAUUGUUUGAACCACAUAUGGAAUAUAUAUUCUAAUAUAUGGGUGAAUGCCAUCUCUUUAAUAUAAGCAAUCUUAUUCUCUUUGAAUUUAUUUGGCAGUCACAAUACAGGCACUACUUUUGGUUAAAUAACAGAGAAAGAAAGAUCAAGAUGAAUAAUAAGUAUAUUUUUAGUAAAUAAAUUAACUUUAACAGUGGAUUGGUUUUUCUGAGCUGUCUGAAGGGGAACACAUAUGGUUAAUUCUUUUAAACACAGGCUGCAUUCUUUUCACAGUAAAGGGGCUGAUUACCAAGAAAAAAUUGUGAAAAAGUUUGUGUUUUUUAAUGUAGAAGGUAUUGAUAAUAGAUGAAAUAUUUCAAAUAGAAAUAUUUUCUAUCCCUUUUACAUUGAAAGGAAUUAAGUUAUGAGAAAUGUUUCAUGUCUAAUAUACUUUUGAGGAAAGUUGGGAAAAUCUGGUGAUUGCAACAAGCACAGAUAAAAAAUCAGGCAAUUCAACUUCACUAACUUAAGGUCCACAUCUCUUAGAGGGACAUGUCACCUUCAACUGAAGCAUUGGGCCUAUGUUAAUAUUAAACAAGAACUGAUGUUGCUUUUCCAGCCUUUCUUGUAUAGCUAUAAUGUAUCUUUAGUUCCCAAAGGGUUCUAACUUCAUCAUAUUUUUGUCUUUGCAUCUGUGUGCAUACUCAUACAGAGUGUUAUCAAAAUAUCAACAUUGACUGGUUGACCGGCUAGUAAGUUGAGAGCCAGACCAACUGCAUGACUAACUAGUUGGUCUAUAUUCAUGAUGUGGUUUCUUAUGAUGAUUGAUGACCAAGUGUUAACUGGGUCGACUAGUCAACCACAAAAUUAUUUUGAAGUUGUUUUUUUUUUUGUUUCUCUAAUUACUUGAAACAAUAUAGAACUUGUUUGUAUUUUGUUAUAGUAAUGAUGUUGCUUUAAAUAUUUGUGAUGGAACAUGUUUGGCUGAUGGCAUAUGAAAUAGAAAAAGGCAUAAAAUAAAAGAAGGCAGUAGAGGAGUUCUUUUAAGUUCAUCUCCAAGUUCCGAUCAAUGGUUUGCUGGUAUAGAAUUGCUACAAACAAAAGGCACAUCAAAUAAUCACGGUUGCACUCUUUCUUUGGAAAACGAAAGCUAUAGCCUAUCCAAUCUAACUAUUUUAUCUUUGCAAAACAGCAACUGUAAACUAAAUGUUCAAUAGCAUUUUCUAUUGCAUAGUUAUGAUCUAUAUCGACUUAUUUAUGAGAUUGCAUUGAUAUCUUAGAUUUAGACUAUAUCCUUUUUCAUCCAUUCUAUUGAAAAUGCUGGCAAUGGGUUGUUUACUUUUAUUUGUUGGCUUGUGCUUGUCAUGCUCAUCCAUGUGUAUUUGGUUUGUUUGUGUUAUUGUGCCAAACUGUAUGUGCUGAUGUACUGCAGUACCACAAGCAUCAUGCUUUUGCCUUAUCUUUUGGAAUAAUUAUUCCCUGUGUUAGUGAUGUUUUAUCUUAUUCUUGCAAUACUGACUUGCCAUUGGGGGUUGCUAAAUUUUGACAUCAUACAUGUUCUAUCAUAUAGUACAAUUGCUUUCUUUUACACUAAUUUCCUCAAAAUUAGACCCUGUUUUAAAAAGGAGAAAAAUACUCUUACAGGUUUUUUAUGAGAAAAUGCUCUUUUGGGAACCGGGGGAGGAGAAGAGGGAUCAUAGGGUGAGCUAGGAGGUGGUGUGUAGAAGCAAAAAUCUGGGUGGCUUGGGGAUUGGGAACAUCAGGAAAAGGAACAUGGCUCUUUUGGGAAAAUGGCUGUGGAGACUCCCAAUAGAAAAGGAGAGACUAUGAGCUAAAAUAGUGGUAAGCAUACAUGGCAUGGAGCAAAAUGGAUGGGAUGCCGGAAUUCGAGCUAGGACCACAAGUGCGUCACCUUGGAAAGCCUUUCACGAUCUGCUUCCAACUUUCUCUCCUCUCAUCAGACGGGCUUGGUAUCUGUAGAACAACAAUUGCAAGAAAUGGGCAUGAUGCCAAAAGAUUGUGAUGAACAAAGCAAAAAAGGUAAUUAAAGCAGUUGCACAUAUGCAGCAUUUGAAAGUAGAGCCAACAUCAAAGUAUCAGAAAAAGCCUCAAAAGGCCAUUUUAAUGUCAACUUGAAUGAAGCACACACAUUGGAUUAGUGAUUCAUGUCAACAAGAAGAAAAAGAAGCAAACUGAACAUGUUUAAUAGACUGAUAGAAAGAAAGCUUGCAGAAGAGGCUCCAUUUCUUAAUCUUUCUUGGCUUCCUUAUUUUCCGAUUUCCCCUUGUUCUUAUUGGACUUCAGGAAGCAGAAGCACGAGCAGCAUGGGAGAUGAAGUAAGAACUUCAUUGUGCUGUUUUUUGGUUGUGCUAAAUGUUGUGAAAACAAUAUGUAUAUAAUGUGGCCAGAGUUAUUCUAUCAUUUCUUGGUUUUUCUUUUUUUUCUUUUUUACAUCCCAUUUACUUUUUCACUCGUCCAAUUGAUUCCUUUCCAAUUGCUUUUGGUAAAGAAGAUGCGUAAUCAAGCCAGCUUCAGGAUACGGGUGUUUGCUGGUUGAUUUAUGAUCAAAGAAAGUCUAUUGGGUUUUGUAUGCCUUUCUUUGUGGGUCAUCUUGGCAACUUGUAAAUAAAGCAUCUCUUUUUGUUCCUUUUCUCAA